Molecule: unclassified non-coding RNA, 332 nt
Filed under: soil metagenome
Description: partial contains 5.8S ribosomal RNA, internal transcribed spacer 2, and large subunit ribosomal RNA
Rfam family: 5.8S ribosomal RNA (bases 1-120)
Source: RNAcentral
GAUGAAGAACGCAGCGAAAUGCGAUAAGUAGUGUGAAUUGCAGAAUUCAGUGAAUCAUCGAAUCUUUGAACGCACAUUGCGCCCUUUGGUAUUCCUUAGGGCAUGCCUGUUCGAGCGUCAUUUAAACCUUCAAGCUAAGCUUGGUGUUGGGUGACUGUCCGCUUCACGGCGGACUCGCCUCAAAAUUAUUGGCGGCCGGUACAUUGGCUUCGAGCGCAGCAGAAACGCGAACUCGGGCCCGUCGUAUUGGCUCCCAGAAGCUAUCUUCACAAUUUUGACCUCGGAUCAGGUAGGGAUACCCGCUGAACUUGAGCAUAUCAAUAAGCGGAGGA